UUGGUCUGAAACCGGGCAGAGAUCCUCCCCUUCGAUUUGAAAAAACCAUCGAGAUCAGCCCUCGUACCGAAUGAAAGUAGUCGAUGUCCGGGGGCAACCUUAAUUUGCCCUUGAAGAAGUUUCCCCACCCUGCAAUAGAACCCCUGGCACAGCGCCCGAUUUGGUCGCUCCUGCGAGGAGAUCGAACCCUUUACUCGGAGGGUAUGAAGCUGGUGUGGAGAACAAAUGACUGCGAAUAACUGGAGACGAGAGCGAUGACCAGAUGCCAGAUGAUGGUAGUACGAACGGAACGAAGAACGGAAUGAAACGGAACAGGAGGUGCCGGUGGUAUAAAAGAGAACAGAACACGAUAUGGAAGUGAAGAACUUCGAGACGGUUGCAGACUGUUCUUUACCCUUCUUAUGG
This 405-nucleotide unclassified non-coding RNA is filed under the name Athalia rosae (coleseed sawfly). RNAcentral's name for it is "misc RNA ENSAEAG00005002715.1". Lineage: Eukaryota; Metazoa; Arthropoda; Insecta; Hymenoptera; Athaliidae. The record is from RNAcentral.